GAAAAAGUAUGCAAGAACUGCUAACUCAUGCUACCAUGUAUAAAAACAUGGCUUUUUCUACU
This 62-nucleotide transfer RNA is filed under the name Pteropus ornatus. Its description in RNAcentral is "tRNA-Ser". Lineage: Eukaryota; Metazoa; Chordata; Mammalia; Chiroptera; Pteropodidae. The record is from RNAcentral.